AUAAGCGCGUAUGGUGGAUGCCUUGGCAGUAAGAGGCGAUGAAGGACGUAGUAGCCUGCAAUAAGCUUCGGGAAGCUGGCAAACAAGCAAUGAUCCGGAGAUUUCCGAAUGGGGAAACCCAACCUUUAAUUAAGGUUAUUGUGUGCUGAAUUCAUAGGCACAUAAGGCGAACCUGGGGAACUGAAACAUCUAAGUACCCAGAGGAAAAGAAAUCAACCGAGAUUCCGUCAGUAGUGGCGAGCGAAAGCGGAACAGCCUAGUUACUAAAUCAUUAUUGGCUUUAGCAGAAUGUUCUGGAAAGUUCAGCUAUAGUGGGUGAUAGCCCCGUAUGUAAAAGGGCUAAUAAUGUGGGUAACGAUGAGUAGGUCGGGACACGUGAAAUCUUGACUGAAUAUGGGGGGACCAUCCUCCAAGGCUAAAUACUCCUUACUGACCGAUAGCGAACUAGUACCGUGAGGGAAAGGUGAAAAGAACCCCGGCAAGGGGAGUGAAAUAGAACCUGAAACCGUAUGCGUACAAGCAGUCAAAGCACUUCUUUGGAAGUGUGAUGGCGUACCUUUUGUAUAAUGGGUCAGCGACUUACUUGUUGUAGCAAGCUUAACCGUAUAGGGGAGGCGUAGGGAAACCGAGUCUGAAAUGGGCAUUUAGUUGCAACAAGUAGACCCGAAACCGGGCGAUCUAUCUAUGGCCAGGGUGAAGGUCAGGUAACACUGACUGGAGGCCCGAACCCACUACUGUUGAAAAAGUAGGGGAUGAGUUGUGGAUAGGAGUGAAAGGCUAAUCAAGCUCGGAGAUAGCUGGUUCUCCUCGAAAGCUAUUUAGGUAGCACCUCGUGUAUGACUCUUGGGGGUAGAGCACUGUUUCGGUUAGGGAGCCAUCCCGGCUUACCAAACCGAAGCAAACUCCGAAUACCAAGAAGUUUUAGCACGGGAGACACACUACGGGUGAUAAGGUCCGUGGUGAAAAGGGAAACAGCCCAGACCGCCAGCUAAGGUCCCAAAAUCACAGUUAAGUGGAAAACGAUGUGGGAAGUCUCAGACAGUCAGGAGGUUGGCUUAGAAGCAGCCAUCCUUUAAAGAAAGCGUAAUAGCUCACUGAUCGAGUCGUCCUGCGCGAAAGAUUUAACGGGGCUUAAACUAUGUACCGAAGCUGCGGAGCUCUUUUUAGAGCUGGUAGAGGAGCGUUCUGUAAGCCUGCGAAGGUAAAUCGAGAGGUUUGCUGGAGGUAUCAGAAGUGCGAAUGCUGACAUGAGUAACGAUAAUGUGGGUGAAAAACCUACACGCCGAAAGUCCAAGGUUUCCUGCGUAACGUUAAUCGGCGCAGGGUGAGUCGGCCCCUAAGGCGAAGUAGAAAUGCGUAGUCGAUGGGAAACAGGUUAAUAUUCCUGUACUUUACAAUACUGCGAUGGGAGGACGGAGAAGGCUAGGUCAGCCACUCGAUGGUUGUAGUGGUUUAAGUACGUAGGAAGAGUUCUUUGGCAAAUCCGGGAACUCAAUUCUGAGAUAUGAUGACGAAGCAUGACUCGUUCAUGCGAAGUGACUAAUGCCACGCUUCCAGGAAAAGUCUCUAAGCUUCAGGUAUUGUAGAACCGUACCCCAAACCGACACAGGUGGACAGGUAGAGAAUACUAAGGCGUUUGAGAGAACUUGGGUGAAGGAACUAGGCAAAAUGACACCGUAACUUCGGGAGAAGGUGUGCCCUUAGUAAGUGAAAGUCCUCGCGAUUGGAGCUGAAGAGGGUUGCAGAUACCAGGUGGCUGCGACUGUUUACUAAAAACACAGCACUCUGCAAACUCGUAAGAGGACGUAUAGGGUGUGACGCCUGCCCGGUGCCGGAAGGUUAAAUGAUGGGGUUAGCCCUCGGACGAAGCUCCGGAUUGAAGCCCCGGUAAACGGCGGCCGUAACUAUAACGGUCCUAAGGUAGGAUUGCUGCCUUAGUAAAAUCUGGCUAUAUGCUGGAAACUCCGAGUAUCCUGCAGUACUCGCUUUGCAUAAAAUUUUUUAAUUUUUAUGCAAAGCAGUGAAAAUCUGACAGGUGCGGACAAUCAGCAGGAAAGACUGGUAAAAAUUGGUUUGGACAGUUAGUUUUGUAGAUGGCAAAGGAUACUUUUUUUGAUCGGCUUUUCUUAAACAGCAAAGUAGAAAAACUCAGAAAGGUUACAAAACUGGCUAUCAAGUGUUUCAUGAAUUCGCUGUUACUCAAAGUGGAAAAAGCCUUUCCACAGUUUACAGGAACUUCAUGAGCUCUUUAAAGUUGGGUAAAUCAAAUAAAUAUUUUGAAAGAUAUAACAAUUAUAAAGACCACUUGUAUCGAUAUCUCGUAAGACGGCGGAAAGAUUUAUUUAGAAAUAAUCAUUCCGUUUUUUUUGACGAUAUUCAUUGUAGACUUCAAAGGAAUUGAACUUUGAGAAAUUUGAAAAAUGUCUUGAGUUAAUUUAAUUUGAGUUAAUUAAGGUUUGAUUAAGAUUGCUGAAAUUACUCAAACAAUGAAUCUUCAACAAUCGCGAGCCGAAUUUAUCAGAAUCCUCAGAGACUAUAUGCCGGAUAUUCGAUAAACUUCGAAUGAAGAUAUAGUCCCGACUACAUGGCGACAUGUAGGAAAAGUAAAAUUACUUUUCGACCUAUUCAAAUUACAACUUAAUUGAAUAAGUUAAGAUUUCAAGCGAAAUUCCUUGUCGGGUAAGUUCCGACCUGCACGAAUGGCGUAACGAUGGCCACGCUGUCUCCACCCAAGGCUCAGUGAAAUUGAAAUCGCUGUGAAGAUGCAGCGUACCCGCGGCUAGACGGAAAGACCCCGUGAACCUUUACUACAGCUUUACAUU
RNAcentral lists this ribosomal RNA (2822 nucleotides) under Candidatus Coxiella mudrowiae. Its description in RNAcentral is "bacterial LSU rRNA". It matches the Rfam family "Bacterial large subunit ribosomal RNA", at positions 12 to 2118 of the family's 2925-position model. The record is from RNAcentral. Lineage: Bacteria; Pseudomonadati; Pseudomonadota; Gammaproteobacteria; Legionellales; Coxiellaceae.